UGUUACGCACCAGUUCCCGUACGUUCACGGAAGUUAAGCAGCAUCGGGCCGAGUCAAUACAUAGAUCGGUGACCGCUUAGGAAUAUCAGAUGCUGUAU
Acanthosepion pharaonis is the source of this 98-nucleotide non-coding RNA. The record is from the annotation of a GenBank genome assembly. NCBI's taxonomy places the organism in Eukaryota, Metazoa, Mollusca, Cephalopoda, Sepiida, Sepiidae.